GACGAACGCUGGCGGCGUGCCUAACACAUGCAAGUCGAACGGUAAGGCCCUUCGGGGUACACGAGUGGCGAACGGGUGAGUAACACGUGGGUGAUCUGCCCUGCACUUCGGGAUAAGCCUGGGAAACUGGGUCUAAUACCGGAUAGGACCACUGCCUGCAUGGGUGGGGGUGGAAAGCUUUUGCGGUGUGGGAUGGGCCCGGGGCCUAUCAGCUUGGUGGUGGGGUGAUGGCCUACCAAGGCGACGACUGGUAGCCGGCCUGAGAGGGUGACCGGCCACACUGGGACUGAGAUACGGCCCAGACGCCGACGGGAGGCAGCAGUGGGGAAUAGUGCACAAUGGGCGCAAGCCUGAUGCAGCGACGCCGCGUGAGGGAUGACGGCCUUCGUGUUGUAAACCUCUUUCAGCACCGACGAAGCGCAAGUGACGGUAGGUGCAGAAGAAGGACCGGCCAACUACGUGCCAGCAGCCGCCGUAA
This 478-nucleotide ribosomal RNA is filed under the name uncultured bacterium. Its description in RNAcentral is "partial 16S ribosomal RNA". It matches the Rfam family "Bacterial small subunit ribosomal RNA", at positions 28 to 523 of the family's 1533-position model. The record is from RNAcentral.